GCGCUGACUUGUGCAGCACACGUACUACAUCCGGAACGAAGCAGACAAGGCUAGCAUGGUGCCAGCACAAGGACGACGCAUAAACUUGUGAAGUGUUCCCUAUCCGA
Molecule: small nuclear RNA, 107 nt
Filed under: Chinchilla lanigera (long-tailed chinchilla)
Lineage: Eukaryota; Metazoa; Chordata; Mammalia; Rodentia; Chinchillidae
Source: RNAcentral